Non-coding RNA from Peromyscus maniculatus bairdii (prairie deer mouse), 3005 nucleotides. NCBI's taxonomy places the organism in Eukaryota, Metazoa, Chordata, Mammalia, Rodentia, Cricetidae. The record is from RefSeq and is a predicted model, not a curated record.
AAAUUUAUAAGAUUAAUAUAUAUAUUAAACUUUUAUUAUGAUACUAAUGGUCAUAUAGAGUACUAACUAAUUCUAAAAAAAGGGGGCUUCAAUUAACUGCCCAUACAUGUUUUUGUGUUUGAGUCUCUAUCAGUUUUUUACAGGGAAUCACAACCAGGCCUAACAUCAAAUUUAAAGUCUCCAGAAAGAUAAUGGGGCCCCACAAAAAUGAUUCCACAUGGACAAUAGUAAUACCACUAAGCUGACAAACAUGACUUACAGAUCAGCUUUGGACUAAAAACUGCUCAGAACAAUUUUAAGAUGGCUAGCUGAUAUGAUCCAGUUUCAUAUACUACUUGAACAAGGACUUGAGAUAAGCCCUGAAUUUUGGUUUUAUGAAGAGACUGGACAACAAAGGAUAUAGCUACUUUUCCUAGAACUUGAUAAUUAAGCCAAUUUUUUUCUUUUCAGAAGAAACGUGCCUUCACCGACAACCAGCAGGAAACUAUUUUAAGAACACGAUGCCCACAUUGCCAAAAAGAUAUGUAGUCUCCUGGCAGCACCAGUCUACUUCAGAGAAGAUAUGGGCAUUGAAGAAACAGCAUAUGGAGUUAACUUUCAUUAUGGCAUAAGUUAGCCACUGGACAACAAAGUUUCCUCAAAUCGACGGCUGACAAACAGGAUAAAAUGGACAGACAGGACACAAAAGAAAUGACUACCAAUCCAUGCCAAGACAAGUGUGGUUGUGGAUUUAGCAACAGACAUCCUCUGAGGCCAGGACAAUAUGGCACCAUCGCUGAAGUGGCUUUGCAAUCCAGAAAAGGUCCAGUGCCCCUUUCUUUGAAGGCAGCUGAACCAGCAAUGGACCGACGGCUUUUGGUGUACAGUGGAACAGUAGCUGAAACAGUUAUUCUUGAAAGAAUAAGUAGGGUGAUGGAGUCUAACCUCUCAAUGGCACUUAAUAAAAGAGAUGAAGCCACCCACAAGCUGAGAACAAUGGACAGCCAAAUACUAAAAACAUCAGCCAUUUCCAGAAUUUAAAAUCCUGAAUCAUGACAGGACACUGUUGGAAUUCAUGUUUACCAGUACAUGGACUACUCACCAAAUGUGAGGUCAAACUGUUGGGCCUUGUAUACAUCCUACUUCUCAAAUGAGUCUGUCAGAUACACUAAGCCAAUAAGCUAAAGAUGAUGCCCCAACAUUGUAGAGAAAUCUUGGGUGACUGUCCAGGCAGCUGGCUGUUUCUGUCAACUCACAUUUUUUGGAAGCUGCUUGCUCGCACUUCAUGUUUUAUUAGGUAUUAUUAUUUCCUUCUUGGGUUUCUGAGGGAGUUAAAGAUUAGUUAUAAUUAUAGUUAGUUAAAGAUUAGAUAGUUAUAGUUAGUUAAAGAUUAGACAGUUAUAGUUAGUUGAAGAUUAUAGUUUUCCAUGUUAAGAAAUUCAGAAAAGAAACUCACAAAAGAGGUGUAAAAUGCAUAAAUUUAGAAGACAUUAUAAGAUAGUUCUCUGUUAGUAAUAAUACAAAUUAGGAUAAAAAGUGAUUCAGGCACAUUACUUACCAAAAGAGGAUAGAUAAUGAAAUAUUUUCUUUGAGUUUGUCAAAUGCAAAUGGACUAAACAUUGUUGAGGUAUUUAUUACUUGUAUAUAUUGUAUAUAGUUAUUGUACUUAUUGUAUAUAGUUUUUUGUAUAUUAGUUAUAACUUUUUUCUUUUUAUUACAAUACAAGGGGGAAAUGUGGUGAUAAUUUAAUUGUGCUAAAAUGUGAUUUUAUUUAUAUGUUAAUAAAUAAGAUUUGCCUGUAGAUCUGAGGUCACAUAGUGAGGUCACACAGCAAGCCAUAAACAGAAGUCAGGCAGUGGUAACCCACACCCUUAAUACAAUCACAUGGCAGUCAGAGUCUCUGUGUGGUCAAGGACACAGCCAAGCAGUGACAUGAGCUUUUAAUCCCAGUACCAACCAUAGAGACCUGGAGGUCUGUAUAGACAGGCAGUGAUAAGGAAGUCAUGUGGCUGGGCUUAGAGCCAAUGGCAAAUCAGAACAGAAAGGCAAGAAUAAAACAGGUUAGAUGGCAAGAAGCUCUCUCUGUGGCAGCUACUGCUGGUGGUAAGCUAAGGUUAGUCAUGGCUAUUGCUCCAAUCUCUUUGGCUAUUACCUCUGUAUUUGGCCCUGUGUUUCGUAUUUAAUAAGACUGUGUAGAAAUUUGUCUACACCCUCCCAAAGGUGUCUUCUUCUACCUCAUUUAACAUUCUUAAAAGAGUUAUGCUAGAAUAGUUACAAAGUCAAAAGUGGGAACCUGGAUGCCAAGCAUUGGGCAAUGUGUGUACAGAAUUACUUCCCUGAUCCUUUUAUUUACCAGAGUACAUUCCAAGUCAUCAUAACAAUAUUUAUAAGUUAUUCUUGAAGUUGUGGAAUGCAUGGCUGACAAUGAAUUUUCAUUUUUUCAAGCAAUACCAGUACUGUUUAACUAUAGUCAGCACUGGCUAAAAUUCUUUAUAUUUUCAGACUUGAAUCUGGUGAGUGUAUUCACCGUUUACAUGACAGAUCCUGAAAGUGACUAAAUCCACUUUGAAAUGAGUCUGCAAUCGGUAUAGCAAAGCUUUUCUUGUAGUUUUAAUGAUUGUAUUUGAUUAGACCUUUCCAGAACUACCAAGUAAGGGAUUUUAACAAUUUUUUAUUAAUGAAUGGAUGAAUAGAAGUACUGUAAAGUCUACAGUUGUUUUAUUGAAAUAGCCAAAAAGCUUUGUAAUAAAAAUGAAUAUAUGUAAUAAAUGUUAGUUAAGAACCCACCAACCUCAUUUGCUAGACUUACAGAAUUAUUUUCAGUGCAUUGUGUCUUUUACCAUUAUUUCAUUAGGAUGUAUAAACUAGUUAAUCCUUCUUUUCUGGUUUCAAGCACUUUUAAUUUUUUUUGUGCUCCCUAAAAAUGAAAGGUGAUGAUCAUAAGGGGAAAUCCUUUCCCUUAUGUAAAGCUGCAAAUCCUGUUUUUUAGAAGGGCUGCUUUAAUUGCACAUAAACAUGAAAUACUG